Oncorhynchus tshawytscha (Chinook salmon) is the source of this 406-nucleotide long non-coding RNA. NCBI's taxonomy places the organism in Eukaryota, Metazoa, Chordata, Actinopteri, Salmoniformes, Salmonidae. The record is from Ensembl.
GGGUAGACUGGGUAUGGAUAGACUGGGUAAGGGUAGACUGGGUAGGUGGGGUAGACUGGGUAGGGGUAGAUUGGGUAGGUGGGGUAGACUGGGUAAGGGUAGACUGGGUAGGUAAGGGUAGACUGGGUAGGUAAGGGUAGACUGGGUAGGUAAGGGUAGACUGGGUAGGUAAGGGUAGACUGGGUAGGUAAGGGUAGACUGGGUAGGUAAGGGUAGACUGGGUAGGUAGGGGUAGACUGGUGGGGGGGGGUUGCCCGGGAAGGUGUUGGGUUGUAUUGAGUAGAAAGCAGUGUUGUUUAGACCUGGGCUCAAUCAAGAGUUGUUUUCUUCUCAAGUUCUUGCAGUGUUUGCCUGAACCUGUCUGAAGUCCUUUUGACGACUACAUAUUCCAUAGCCUCUGUUGUAC